This 558-nucleotide ribosomal RNA is filed under the name Trichophyton mentagrophytes. RNAcentral's name for it is "eukaryotic LSU rRNA". The stretch from base 188 to 341 matches the Rfam family "5.8S ribosomal RNA". Lineage: Eukaryota; Fungi; Ascomycota; Eurotiomycetes; Onygenales; Arthrodermataceae. The record is from RNAcentral.
GUAAAACCAGCCCCAUUCUUGUCUACCUUACUCGGUUGCCUCGGCGGGCCGCGCUCUUCCAGGAGAGCCGUUCGGCGAGCCUCUCUUUAGUGGCUAAACGCUGGACCGCGCCCGCCGGAGGACAGACGCAAAAAAAUUCUUUCAGAAGAGCUGUCAGUCUGAGCGUUAGCAAGCAAAAAUCAGUUAAAACUUUCAACAACGGAUCUCUUGGUUCCGGCAUCGAUGAAGAACGCAGCGAAAUGCGAUAAGUAAUGUGAAUUGCAGAAUUCCGUGAAUCAUCGAAUCUUUGAACGCACAUUGCGCCCCCUGGCAUUCCGGGGGGCAUGCCUGUUCGAGCGUCAUUUCAGCCCCUCAAGCCCGGCUUGUGUGAUGGACGACCGUCCGGCGCCCCCGUUUUUGGGGGUGCGGGACGCGCCCGAAAAGCAGUGGCCAGGCCGCGAUUCCGGCUUCCUAGGCGAAUGGGCAACAAACCAGCGCCUCCAGGACCGGCCGCCCUGGCCUCAAAAUCUGUUUUAUACUUAUCAGGUUGACCUCGGAUCAGGUAGAAUCCCGGUGCCG